CCCUUAGAUGUUCUGGGCCGCACGCGCGCUACACUGACGAAGUCAGCGAGCAUGUCCUACGCCGACAGGUGCGGGGAAUCUUGUCAAACUUCGUCGUGAUGGGGAUUGAUUAUUGAAAUUCUUGAUCAUCAACGAGGAAUUCCUAGUAAGCGCAAGUCAGCAGCUUGCGUUGAUUACGUCCCUGCCCUUUGUACACACCGCCCGUCGCUACUACCGAUUGAAUGGUUCAGUGAGAUAAUCGGACAGAAAACUUGGCAACUGGCAACAGUUGACGUGCAUUUUUGGAAGACGAUCAAACUUGGUCAUUUAGAGGAAGUAAAAGUCGUAACA
Molecule: ribosomal RNA, 330 nt
Filed under: uncultured eukaryote
Lineage: Eukaryota
Description: partial 18S ribosomal RNA
Rfam family: Eukaryotic small subunit ribosomal RNA
Source: RNAcentral